CAGUCGCCACGGGAAUACGUAGGGUGCAAGCGUUAAUCGGAACUACUGGGCGUAAAGCGUGCGCAGGCGGUUAUAUAAGACAGAUGUGAAAUCCCCGGGCUCAACCUGGGAACUGCAUUUGUGACUGUAUAGCUAGGGUACGGCAGAGGGGGAUGGAAUUCCGCGUGUAGCAGUGAAAUGCGUAGAUAUGCGGAGGGACACCGAUGGCGAAGGCAAUCCCCUGGGCCUGUACUGACGCUCAUGCACGAAAGCGUGGGGAGCAAACAGGAUUAGAUACCCGCGUAGUCCCUGUCUCUUAUAC
Molecule: ribosomal RNA, 301 nt
Filed under: uncultured bacterium
Lineage: Bacteria
Description: partial 16S ribosomal RNA
Rfam family: Bacterial small subunit ribosomal RNA
Source: RNAcentral